Molecule: small nuclear RNA, 181 nt
Filed under: Melipona quadrifasciata
Lineage: Eukaryota; Metazoa; Arthropoda; Insecta; Hymenoptera; Apidae
Description: U2 spliceosomal RNA
Rfam family: U2 spliceosomal RNA
About the family: U2 is a small nuclear RNA (snRNA) component of the spliceosome (involved in pre-mRNA splicing). Complementary binding between U2 snRNA (in an area lying towards the 5' end but 3' to hairpin I) and the branchpoint sequence (BPS) of the intron results the bulging out of an unpaired adenosine, on the BPS, which initiates a nucleophilic attack at the intronic 5' splice site, thus starting the first of two transesterification reactions that mediate splicing.
Source: Rfam by way of RNAcentral
AUAGCUUGUCGAAUAAAGGUAUAUUAAUCUGUUCUUAUCAGCUUAAUAUCUGAUACGCUCUCUAGUAAAGAGCCAGAAUAUUAAACUGAUUUUUGGGACCAGGUGGAUUUUCGGAGCUCGCUCCGGCUCCGCCGCGGGUUGACCCGGCAUUGCAGUGCCGCUGGGACUCAGCCCUCUCACA